This 989-nucleotide ribosomal RNA is filed under the name metagenome. RNAcentral's name for it is "bacterial LSU rRNA". It matches the Rfam family "Bacterial large subunit ribosomal RNA", at positions 1942 to 2925 of the family's 2925-position model. RNAcentral also lists the same sequence under 1 other name. The record is from RNAcentral.
AUAACGGUCCUAAGGUAGCGAAAUUCCUUGUCGGGUAAGUUCCGACCCGCACGAAUGGCGUAACGAUGGCCACACUGUCUCCUCCCGAGACUCAGCGAAGUUGAAGUGGUUGUGAAGAUGCAAUCUACCCGCUGCUAGACGGAAAGACCCCGUGAACCUUUACUGUAGCUUUGCAUUGGACUUUGAAGUCACUUGUGUAGGAUAGGUGGGAGGCUUAGAAGCAGAGACGCCAGUCUCUGUGGAGCCGUCCUUGAAAUACCACCCUGGUGUCUUUGAGGUUCUAACCCAGACCCGUAAUCCGGGUCGGGGACCGUGCAUGGUAGGCAGUUUGACUGGGGCGGUCUCCUCCCAAAGAGUAACGGAGGAGUUCGAAGGUUACCUAGGUCCGGUCGGAAAUCGGACUGAUAGUGCAAUGGCAAAAGGUAGCUUAACUGCGAGACCGACAAGUCGAGCAGGUGCGAAAGCAGGACAUAGUGAUCCGGUGGUUCUGUAUGGAAGGGCCAUCGCUCAACGGAUAAAAGGUACUCCGGGGAUAACAGGCUGAUUCCGCCCAAGAGUUCAUAUCGACGGCGGAGUUUGGCACCUCGAUGUCGGCUCAUCACAUCCUGGGGCUGUAGUCGGUCCCAAGGGUAUGGCUGUUCGCCAUUUAAAGUGGUACGUGAGCUGGGUUUAAAACGUCGUGAGACAGUUUGGUCCCUAUCUGCAGUGGGCGUUGGAAGUUUGACGGGGGCUGCUCCUAGUACGAGAGGACCGGAGUGGACGAACCUCUGGUGUACCGGUUGUAACGCCAGUUGCAUAGCCGGGUAGCUAAGUUCGGAAGAGAUAAGCGCUGAAAGCAUCUAAGCGCGAAACUCGCCUGAAGAUGAGACUUCCCUUGCGGUUUAACCGCACUAAAGAGUCGUUCGAGACCAGGACGUUGAUAGGUGGGGUGUGGAAGCGCGGUAACGCGUGAAGCUAACCCAUACUAAUUGCUCGUGAGGCUUGACUCU